GCUACAGUGUUGCUAUAGUAAUUUUGACACUCCAAAAUUGAGCAACAAGGCCCUCGUCGCUGGCCUGGCGCCAAAGCAAAACACUGUGUCCUGUGGAGUUCCCGUGUGCAGACUGGCUGCAAGCCUGCAAUCGAGCUCUAAUCUGCUUACAGCAUGUCAGCAUCAGAUCAUCAGGGAACUGAACAAGCCUAGAACAGACAAG
This 202-nucleotide long non-coding RNA is filed under the name Setaria italica (foxtail millet). Its description in RNAcentral is "long non-coding RNA (SITA_LNC004128)". Lineage: Eukaryota; Viridiplantae; Streptophyta; Magnoliopsida; Poales; Poaceae. The record is from RNAcentral.